RNAcentral lists this ribosomal RNA (511 nucleotides) under uncultured bacterium. RNAcentral describes it as "partial 16S ribosomal RNA". It matches the Rfam family "Bacterial small subunit ribosomal RNA", at positions 28 to 506 of the family's 1533-position model. The record is from RNAcentral.
GAUGAACGCUGGCGGCGUGCCUAAUACAUGCAAGUCGAACGAAACUUCUUUAUCACCGAGUGCUUGCACUCACCGAUAAAGAGUUGAGUGGCGAACGGGUGAGUAACACGUGGGCAACCUGCCCAAAAGAGGGGGAUAACACUUGGAAACAGGUGCUAAUACCGCAUAACCAUAGUUACCGCAUGGUAACUAUGUAAAAGGUGGCUAUACUACCGCUUUUGGAUGGGCCCGCGGCGCAUUAGCUAGUUGGUAGGGUAAAGGCUUACCAAGGCAAUGAUGCGUAGCCGAAUUGAGAGGUUGAUCGGCCACAUUGGGACUGAGACACGGCCCAAACGCCUACGGGAGGCAGCAGUAGGGAAUCUUCCAAAAUGGGCGAAAGCCUGAUGGAGCAACGCCGCGUGGGUGAAGAAGGUCUUCGGAUCGUAAAACCCUGUUGUUAGAGAAGAAAGUGCGUGAGAGUAACUGUUCACGUUUCGACGGUAUCUAACCAGAAAGCCACGGCUAACUACGU